RNAcentral lists this ribosomal RNA (423 nucleotides) under uncultured prokaryote. Its description in RNAcentral is "bacterial SSU rRNA". It matches the Rfam family "Bacterial small subunit ribosomal RNA", at positions 355 to 774 of the family's 1533-position model. The record is from RNAcentral.
CAACGAAUAAUCCGCAAUGGGCGAAAGCCUGACGGUGCGACGCCGCGUACGGGAUGAAGUCCUUCGGGAUGUAAACCGUAAUAGUCUGUUCACAAGCAACUCGGGCUAAUAUCUCGAGAAGUUGAGUAGCAGACGAAAGGGACGGCUAACUCCGUGCCAGCAGCCGCGGUAAGACGGAGGUCCCUAGCGUUGUUCGGAUUUACUGGGCUUAAAGCGCGUGUAGGCGGGUCGGUGCGUACCUUGUGAAAUCCCUCGGCUCAACCGAGGAACUGCUCGGUAUACGACCGGUCUUGAGGCAGGUAGAGGCGCCUGGAACCUUAGGUGGAGCGGUGAAAUGCGUAGAUAUCUAAGGGAACGCCGGUGGCGAAAGCGGGGCGCUGGGCCUGUCCUGACGCUAAGACGCGAAAGCGUAGGGAGCAAACG